GUGAGGAAUAUUGGUCAAUGGACGAGAGUCUGAACCAGCCAAGUCGCGUGAAGGAAGACGGUUCUAUGAAUUGUAAACUUCUUUUGUGCAGGAAUAAAGUGGGUUACGUGUAACCUUUUGUAUGUACUGUACGAAUAAGGAUCGGCUAACUCCGUGCCAGCAGCCGCGGUAAUACGGAGGAUCCGAGCGUUAUCCGGAUUUAUUGGGUUUAAAGGGUGCGUAGGUGGAUUGAUAAGUCAGCGGUGAAAGUUUGCAGCUUAACUGUAAAAUUGCCGUUGAAACUGUCGGUCUUGAGUGCAAAUGAGGUAGGCGGAAUGUGUUGUGUAGCGGUGAAAUGCUUAGAUAUAACACAGAACUCCGAUUGCGAAGGCAGCUUACUGGGAUGCAACUGACACUGAUGCACGAAAGCGUGGGGAUCAAACAGGAUUAGAAACCCGGGUAGUCC
Molecule: ribosomal RNA, 445 nt
Filed under: uncultured bacterium
Lineage: Bacteria
Description: partial 16S ribosomal RNA
Rfam family: Bacterial small subunit ribosomal RNA
Source: RNAcentral